GCCGGGGUAGCUCAGACUGGGAGAGCAUCCGGCUGAAGACCGGACUGUCGUGGGUUCAAAUCCCACCCCCGGCA
Molecule: transfer RNA, 74 nt
Filed under: Candidatus Bathyarchaeota archaeon
Lineage: Archaea; Thermoproteati; Candidatus Bathyarchaeota
Also listed under: 3 other names
Description: tRNA-Phe
Rfam family: tRNA
About the family: Transfer RNA (tRNA) molecules are approximately 80 nucleotides in length.
Source: RNAcentral